UGUGUAGGCGGCUAGGUAAGUCGGAUGUGAAAGCCCUGGGCUCAACCCAGGAAGUGCACUCGAUACUGCUUAGCUCGAGUACCGGAGAGGUUGGUGGAAUUCUCGGUGUAGAGGUGAAAUUCGUAGAUAUCGAGAGGAACACCGGUGGCGAAGGCGGCCAACUGGACGAGUACUGACGCUGAGACACGAAAGCGUGGGGAGCAAACAGGAUUAGAUACCCUGGUAGUCCACGCCGUAAACGAUGGGUGCUAGGUGUCACGGGCUUUGACUCCUGUGGUGCCGCAGCAAACGCAUUAAGCACCCCGCCUGGGAGUACGGCCGCAAGGCUAA
RNAcentral lists this ribosomal RNA (330 nucleotides) under uncultured bacterium. Its description in RNAcentral is "bacterial SSU rRNA". It matches the Rfam family "Bacterial small subunit ribosomal RNA", at positions 568 to 897 of the family's 1533-position model. The record is from RNAcentral.